CAGGGGAAAAUAAUUUUAUCAAACAGAACAGCAAGAAUGAUUACACUUUUCUACACUCUUUUGUUGCAUUGCUUAAUAUUUCUGGUUUUAUAUAAAUUGGCAUAUACUGAAUCAUGUAAAAGAGAUCUAUCUUCAGAAUGUAAUGCUCGAUUUGCUGACCAUAUGGAAAAAGUUCAUGGAGAAACCAUGAUAUGAAUGAAUGAUAAUAUUAACAGAAAUAUAUAAUUUUAAUAUUUAGUUCAUUUUAAAAAAUGAUUAUAUCUGUGUUGAAAAUUUGAUAAUUAAU
Long non-coding RNA from Centruroides sculpturatus (bark scorpion), 286 nucleotides. RefSeq lists it as uncharacterized. The record is from RefSeq and is a predicted model, not a curated record. The transcript has 3 exons. Lineage: Eukaryota; Metazoa; Arthropoda; Arachnida; Scorpiones; Buthidae.